Molecule: ribosomal RNA, 406 nt
Filed under: uncultured bacterium
Lineage: Bacteria
Description: partial 16S ribosomal RNA
Rfam family: Bacterial small subunit ribosomal RNA
Source: RNAcentral
AUUGAACGCUGGCGGCAGGCCUAACACAUGCAAGUCGAGCGAGCGGCGGACGGGUGCGUAAUGCCUGGGAAAUUGCCCAGUCGAGGGGGAUAACAGUUGGAAACGACUGCUAAUACCGCAUACCAUCAGAUGUGCCCAGAUGGGAUUAGCUUGUUGGUGGGGUAACGGCUCACCAAGGCGACGAUCCCUAGCUGGUCUGAGAGGAUGACCAGCCACACUGGAACUGAGACACGGUCCAGACUCCUACGGGAGGCAGCAGUGGGGAAUAUUGCACAAUGGGCGCAAGCCUGAUGCAGCCAUGCCGCGUGUAUGAAGAAGGCCUUCGGGUUGUAAAGUACUUUCAGCGGGGAGGCGUUACCCGCAGAAGAAGCACCGGCUAACUCCGUGCCAGCAGCCGCGGUAAUUC